RNAcentral lists this ribosomal RNA (253 nucleotides) under uncultured bacterium. RNAcentral's name for it is "partial 16S ribosomal RNA". It matches the Rfam family "Bacterial small subunit ribosomal RNA", at positions 524 to 776 of the family's 1533-position model. The record is from RNAcentral.
UACGGGGGGGGCAAGCGUUGUUCGGAAUUACUGGGCGUAAAGGGCUCGUAGGUGGCCAACUAAGUCGGACGUGAAAUCCCUCAGCUUAACUGGGGAACUGCGUCCGAUACUGGAUGGCUUGAGUUUGGGAGAGGGAUGCGGAAUUCCAGGUGUAGCGGUGAAAUGCGUAGAUAUCUGGAGGAACACCGGUGGCGAAGGCGGCGACCUGGGUAGAUACUGACGCUGAGGCGCGAAAGCGUGGGGAGCAAACAGG